Molecule: small nucleolar RNA, 70 nt
Organism: Rhododendron vialii
Lineage: Eukaryota; Viridiplantae; Streptophyta; Magnoliopsida; Ericales; Ericaceae
Product: small nucleolar RNA Z105
Exons: 1
Source: RefSeq, a predicted model, not a curated record
GCAUAAUGAUGAUGAAUCUGAAAUAUUCCGAUUAUUUCAUGAAAGGAUAAAAUCCUCCUACUCAUUCUGA